Molecule: unclassified non-coding RNA, 342 nt
Filed under: soil metagenome
Description: partial contains 5.8S ribosomal RNA, internal transcribed spacer 2, and large subunit ribosomal RNA
Rfam family: 5.8S ribosomal RNA (bases 1-120)
Source: RNAcentral
GAUGAAGAACGUAGCGAAAUGCGAUAAGUAAUGUGAAUUGCAGAAUUCAGUGAAUCAUCGAAUCUUUGAACGCACAUUGCGCCCGCCAGCACUCUGGCGGGCAUGCCUGUUCGAGCGUCAUUUCAACCAUCAAGCCCCCAGGGGCUUGUGCUGGGGCCCUGCGGCUGCCCGCAGGCCCCGAAAACCAGUGGCGGGCUCGCUAGUCACACCGAGCGCAGUAGCACAUCUCGCUCAGGGCGUGCGGCGGGCUCCUGCCGUGAAACCCCCCACUGUAACCCCAAAGGUUGACCUCGGAUCAGGUAGGAAUACCCGCUGAACUUAAGCAUAUCAAUAAGCGGAGGA